RNAcentral lists this transfer RNA (87 nucleotides) under Candidatus Kaiserbacteria bacterium RIFCSPHIGHO2_01_FULL_55_17. Its description in RNAcentral is "tRNA-Leu". Lineage: Bacteria; Candidatus Kaiseribacteriota. The record is from RNAcentral.
GCGCGGGUGUUGAAAUUAGCAGACAAGCAUCCUUGAGGUGGAUGUGCCCGCAAGGGCGUGCAGGUGCAAGUCCUGUCCCGCGCACUA